AGGGUUUGAUUAUGGCUCAGGAUGAACGCUAGCUACAGGCUUAACACAUGCAAGUCGAGGGGCAGCAUGACCUAGCAAUAGGUUGAUGGCGACCGGCGCACGGGUGAGUAACACGUAUCCAACCUGCCGAUUAUUCCGGGAUAGCCUUUCGAAAGAAAGAUUAAUACUGGAUAGCAUAACGAGAAGGCAUCUUCUUGUUAUUAAAGAAUUUCGAUAAUCGAUGGGGAUGCGUUCCAUUAGUUUGUUGGCGGGGUAACGGCCCACCAAGACAUCGAUGGAUAGGGGUUCUGAGAGGAAGGUCCCCCACAUUGGAACUGAGACACGGUCCAA
This 330-nucleotide ribosomal RNA is filed under the name uncultured bacterium. Its description in RNAcentral is "bacterial SSU rRNA". It matches the Rfam family "Bacterial small subunit ribosomal RNA", at positions 8 to 334 of the family's 1533-position model. The record is from RNAcentral.